GGCUCGUUGGUCUAGGGGUAUGAUUCUCGCUUCGGGAGCGAGAGGUCCUGGGUUUAAAUCCCGGAUGAGCCC
Danio rerio (zebrafish) is the source of this 72-nucleotide non-coding RNA. The record is from Rfam. NCBI's taxonomy places the organism in Eukaryota, Metazoa, Chordata, Actinopteri, Cypriniformes, Danionidae.